This 328-nucleotide ribosomal RNA is filed under the name uncultured eukaryote. RNAcentral describes it as "partial 18S ribosomal RNA". It matches the Rfam family "Eukaryotic small subunit ribosomal RNA", at positions 1470 to 1796 of the family's 1831-position model. The record is from RNAcentral.
CCCUUAGAUGUUCUGGGCUGCACGCGCGCUACACUGAUGCACUCAACGAGUUUACGACCUUGCCCGAUAGGGUUGGGUAAUCUUUUUAAAAUGCAUCGUGAUGGGGAUAGAUUAUUGCAAUUAUUAAUCUUCAACGAGGAAUUCCUAGUAAGCGCGGGUCAUCAUCCCGCGCUGAAUACGUCCCUGCCCUUUGUACACACCGCCCGUCGCUCCUACCGAUUGAGUGGUCCGGUGAGGCUUUGGGAUCUGAGCGGAAAGAGCGUUUCGCUGUUUCUGCCCGGAAAACUCAGUCGAACCUUAUCAUUUAGAGGAAGGAGAAGUCGUAACA